This 28989-nucleotide long non-coding RNA is filed under the name Carica papaya (papaya). RNAcentral describes it as "long non-coding RNA (CPAP_LNC012626)". The record is from RNAcentral. Lineage: Eukaryota; Viridiplantae; Streptophyta; Magnoliopsida; Brassicales; Caricaceae.
GCAUGCUGUGGGGUGCCCCUUUAGAUGAAGAUAAAAAACAUAAUGUUGGGUUGGAGCUCGUGCCAUUUAUAGAGGAGGCGGUUGAUCUUUUGGGAAAACCUAAUAUUUCUGAUUUUUUUCCUAUCCUUGCCCCGUUGGAUUUACAAGGAAUUGUAUCAAAAAUGCUAAAGAUCAGAUUGCGAUUCGAUAAUAUUUUUGAAUCAGUGAUUGCAAUAAAAAAAAGCACGAAGACGAGUAACCAAAGCAAAGAUUUUUUGCAAAUUUUGUUGGAGCUUAUGCAGCAAGAAGAUGAAAAGAUGCUAUUUUCCAUGACUAACAUCAAGGCUUUGUUACUGGUAAGUUAAAACUUAAUUUAUACGUAAAUAUUUAGAUGUUAAUAAUUUUGUUUAUAUAUAUGUACAGGAUAUUAUUUCGGCAACAACAGAGACAUCAUCGACUACGGUAGAAUGGGUAAUGACAGAAUUAUUAAAAAAUUCAGAUAUAAUGAAAAAAGUACACGAAGAAUUGGAGAGAGUUGUUGGUAAUGAAAAGAUUGUAGAAGAGUGUGAUAUAAACCAACUACAUUAUUUACAGUCUGUAGUGAAAGAAACAAUGAGAUUACAUCCAGUUGGUCCUCUUCUUAUCCCGCACAGUCCCAGUGUGUCAACAACUAUAGCCGGCUACACCAUUCCUAAAGGCUCAAGUGUUUUUAUUAAUGUUUGGUCAAUAAUGAGAGAUCAUGAGACUUGGAAAAAUCCACUUAAAUUUCAACCUGAGAGAUUCUUUGAACAUCCAGAAAUUGGUGAUUACAGAGGAAAUAAUUUCAAUUAUCUACCUUUUGGAUCAGGGAGGAGAAUAUGCGCCGGGAUUAAUUUAGCAGAGAAGAUGGUAAUGAAUGUGUUAGCCACUCUCUUACAUUCUUUUGAUUGGAAAGUGGAAAAUGCUACAAAUCUGAAUUCAUCUGAAAAAUUUGGUAUCGUAGUGAGAAAAUUGGAUCCUUUAAUGGCGAUACCAACUAUUAGAUUGCCUACUUUAGAGCAAUACUAUUAAAUAUGAGAGAAUCUAUUAAAUUAUAAUAAAAAAAUUAUGAUAUAAAUUUAGUAUAAAUAAUAAAUUAUGAACCAUGUAGCAGAAAUUUCUAAAUAUGUUUCUAAUUGUAAAUCGUAUUUGAAAUAUUUGAAAUAAAAUGCUAUUGUUUGUCUCUCGUUUAAAAUAAAUAUACUAAAUUUUUCUUUGAGUUUUGCCAAUCAACUGAACUGUCUUUCUUAAUUAAGUAAUAAGUAAGACUAGUCAUAUUUGAUAAUAUCAAAAAUAAUCUUUGGAUGACGAACAAUGAAAAAGAUCUUGUUAAAGUUUAAGACUACAACAACUGAACUUAAAAAGCAAGAUCGGUAGAGCUGCAAAGAAAAAACAGAUUAAAUAUUUAAGAAUCUGAAAUCGCAACUCUCUACCUCAAGACAAUGAAGAAAAAAUUUUUUCCCUUAAAAAAAAUAAGUCUUUUUUUAGUUUUAUUUAUUACAGUUCUAAAACUUUGAAAUUUUAAUUUUUGUAUAAUAAGACAAAAUAUAAGUUAUUGUAAGCUUAUUGAAUAUAUGUAUCACUCUAUAUAAACUUAAAAAGUUAUAUGUAGAAUAAGAACAUGCAUGCCCAUUUUAUUAUUCCUGUAAAUAUUAAUUAAAAUUAGGGUUAUAUUCUUCGUCGGCAAUUAUUCUAUCCAAACCACCCGACUCAAUGCAGUAUUCCAAAUAAAUUUAUGGUUUAAGAUUCAGUUGAUAGGAAACUAUGUGCAAUGCAAGACAAAUUUAGGUUUAAGUUUUUACAUACUAAAUUUUGCUCAUAAAAAAUUCACCAUGCUUAUAUGUAUUUUUUAUUUUUUAUUAAUAUUAUUGUAACGGUUCCGAAAAUCUAAAAAAAAAAAAAGAUAAUAACUUAAGUACGGAAUCGAAAUAAAAAAGUUAAGAUAUACAUUCCUUACACAAUAAUUUAAAAGUACUAAACAACAUUACAUAAUUCACCAUUUUGAAAGAAACACAAGAAAUAAGGAAAUAAACGGAAAAGAGAAAAUAUCUAGCAUCUACUCACAAUCUUCUUGUGGAUCGGGCUCUGAAAUCUGAUCCUCUUGAUCUGAAACGGUUAAAUAAAGAAUGAGGUAUACUACCCCAGUAAAGAUAUCACAGUAUAUCACCGACACAGAAAUAAAGAUGAGUAUAAAAAUAAAAACAAUUAAUAGAGCACUAAAUUUAGCAAAUCUAUUUAUCAAUCAUAAAAUCAUUUACCAUUCACUUACCACAAUUGAAUUUAUGAAAAUAACUUGUGCAGAUAAUGAUAUCAUACGGAUCAUAAUUUCAUGUAAGAUUAGCAACAUAAUACAUAUCAUAAAUCUAUACACAUAUUCAAAUAACCAAACAUAACUGUUACCUUUUCACCAGCCUACUAGUAUCCAUGGAGGCUCAUAGGGAUGUCCCUACUACACGUGACCCAUUUCCUUUAACAAUCUCAAUUACAGCGCGUCUACAUGCCUCGUCCGGGUAUGAGUGCCAAGUUUAUUAAACCUCAAUACUCCGUCCGGUAUGAGACAACGUUCACGGUAAGGGUUUCCUAUAUACUCGGUCCGUUCACCAUCUCUCAGAUAUCUAGUAAAGCUGCCGUUCCAUCUAUUAUUUAAUCACACAACUUUUCNNNNNNNNNNNNNNNNNNNNNNNNNNNNNNNNNNNNNNNNNNNNNNNNNNNNNNNNNNNNNNNNNNNNNNNNNNNNNNNNNNNNNNNNNNNNNNNNNNNNNNNNNNNNNNNNNNNNNNNNNNNNNNNNNNNNNNNNNNNNNNNNNNNNNNNNNNNNNNNNNNNNNNNNNNNNNNNNNNNNNNNNNNNNNNNNNNNNNNNNNNNNNNNNNNNNNNNNNNNNNNNNNNNNNNNNNNNNNNNNNNNNNNNNNNNNNNNNNNNNNNNNNNNNNNNNNNNNNNNNNNNNNNNNNNNNNNNNNNNNNNNNNNNNNNNNNNNNNNNNNNNNNNNNNNNNNNNNNNNNNNNNNNNNNNNNNNNNNNNNNNNNNNNNNNNNNNNNNNNNNNNNNNNNNNNNNNNNNNNNNNNNNNNNNNNNNNNNNNNNNNNNNNNNNNNNNNNNNNNNNNNNNNNNNNNNNNNUUUUUACCUUUUUUGGCGGUCGGAAAUGGUUCUAGUGUGGUGGUGGGUGGCAACGGUCUGCUCCCCGGCGGUUGGGUCAUCUUCUCCGGCGAGGGGGUCUAGUGGAUAGGGUUAGGGUUUGGUGCAGAUGGGGGUUAUUUAUAUCCGUCCACUUUUGAUCUGGACCGUCCAUCGCGUUUGAUCUUGACCGUCCGAUCGCAAUUAAAUAGGUAAUGAAUCUAACCAUUCAUCGCGAUCAAAUCUGGACCGUCCAUCGCAAUCCACUCUGGGCCGUUCGAUCACAUUUGAAUCUGACCAUCCGAUCACAUUUGGGAGGGAGCGCAUCCAAGCCGUCCGUGCGCGCGAGAACUAACCUGGACCGUUCAAUCGCAGGCACGUGGAUCACCCGCGUGGCUUUCCGUGUGGCACUGCGUCAGCGUCCGUUGCCACGUGGCGCAUCCAGGUUCAUUGGGACAGCUGACCGGACGUCCCACGUGGUAGAACUUUUUCAAAUUACACUUUGACCCUUAGUUUCUGAUUUUUCUUUCAAAAAUAUCUUCAGAACCCAAAUAUUUACCUCUUUUCCCCAAAAUUAUUUCUAAUUUCAUCCUCAUUCAAUUUUUACCCCAAAUAAAAUAAAAUAAAAUACAACAAAAUAAAAUAAAUUAAUAAAAAAUUAAUUUAUUAAUUAUGUAAUCACACACAAAAUUUUAUUUAUUUUAUUUUAUUAUUUUUUUUGUGGGUGUUACAAUUCUCUCAUUCUUAAAAGAAAUUUAGUUUUUCAAAUUUGUCUCUCACUCUCAAUCAAACAGCUGGGGAUAUUGGACUCUGAAGUCUGAUUCUAACUCCCAUGUAGCCUCCCUCGAUGUGUGGUUCUGCCAUAUGACUUUUACAAAGGAAAUUUUUUGGUUGCGGAGUAAUCUGCUCUUUCGAUCCACAAUGCCGACCUGUACUUCCUCGUAUGACAGAUCCUCCUAGAGUGGAAGAGGCUCGUGGGCCAAAAUAUGAGAGCGGUCCGGGUUGUACUUGCGUAGCAUGAACACAUGAAACACAUUAUGAACCUUGUAAAGUUCUGGAGGUAGUGUUAGUCUAUAGGCGGCGGUACCAAUUCUAUCUAAGAUUUCAAAUGGUCCAAUAAAUCGGGGAUUCAGUUUUUUCCUCUUACCGAACCUACUAAUUCCCUUAAAGGGAGUGACCUUAAGGAACACUCGAUUACCUUUCUCAAAUUUCAAAUCCCUCAUCCGGGUGUCCGCAUAGCUCUUCUGCCUGCUCUGAGCCAUCUGAAUGUUCUUCCUGAUCUUAACUAUUUUGGAUGUAGUCUCCUCUACCAGAUUUGGGCCGAAUAGUUUCUAUCGCCCACUUCUUCCCAACAAAUCGGCGAUCUACAUGGGCGCCCAUAUAAUGCCUCAUACGGAGCUGUGCCAAUACUCGCUUAGUAGCUGUUGUUGUAGGUGAACUCUAUCAGGGGUAAAUGGUUAUCCCAAUGGCCCUCGGAGUCAAAGACACAAGCUCAGAGCAUAUACUCAAGUGUACAUAUUGUCCUUUCUGACUGUCUAUCGGUCUGAUGGUGGAAUGCAGUACUAAGGGAUAGUUUCGUUCCCAUGGCUUGCUGAAACCUAUACCAAAAUCGAGAAGUGAACCUGGGGUUCAUGUCGGACACUACAACCACUGACACUCUAUGUAAUCUGAUUAUUUUUCGGAUAUACAUUCUUACUAACUUGUCCAAGGGAUCGGUCAUCUUGAUGACCAAAAAGUGGGAAGACUUGGUAAGCCGAUCAACAAUUACUCAGAUGACAUCAUGUUCUGAGCGUGCCUAAGGUAAUCUUGUCAUAAAGUCCAUGGUGAUAUGUUCCCACUUCUAUUUCGGGAUCGGUAAUGGCUAAAGUAGCUCGCCUGGGUGUUGAUGCUCUGCCUUAAUAUGCUGACAUACCAAACACUUAGAAACAAUGUCAGCUAUAUCUCUUUUCAUCCCGUUCCAUCAAAAUCGGGGUCGCAUAUUUUGGUAUAUUUUAGUGCUUCUAGGAUGCAUGACAAACUUUAAGUUAUGAGUCUCUGUCAUAAUGUUCAUCUUUAACUCACUGUCACCUGGAACACACACCUUGUCCUGGAAUCUGAGUAACCCAUUGGUGGAGACUCGAAAUUCUGAUCUAACUUCCUGUUCUGCAUCUUUCUUGAGGGCUACUAGGGUGGAAUCGACGGACUGAACUUCUUUUAUUCUUUAAAUUAACUCAGGCUGAAUGGUCAAGUGACCCAAACAUGUGACUCUCCUCAGGUCCUGAAACUGUAGCUGUUGUGUGGCCCCAAUCUGCUUACAUUAUGAAACCAUCAAAUGGGCUAAUGUACCUAUACUUUUUCUGCUGAGUGCAUUGGCUACCACAUUGCCUUUAUUCGGGUGAUACAAGAUGUCACAAUUGUCUUUAAGAAGUUCUAUCCACUUUCUCUGACAGGUGUUGAGAUCCUUUUGAGUGAAUAUGUGUUUCAAACUUUUGUGAUCGGUAUAGAUCUGAAAGGUCUCCCCAUACAAAUAAUGGCGCAAAGUCUUCAAGACAUGUAUGAUUGCGACAAGCUCUAAGUCAUGGGUGGGAUAGUUUCUCUCAUGACUCUUCAACUUUCUAGACCCAUAGGCUAUGACAUUCUUAUGCUGCAUCAAAACACAACUCAGGCCUAGGCAGGAGACAUCACUGUAAACUAUAUACCCCCCCGAUCCACUCGGCAAUGCCAAUAUAGGUGCAGUAGUCAGCUGCUUCUUUAGCUCUAAAAAACUUCUUUCACAGUCCUCGUUCCACUCAAACUUGACAUUAUUCUUUGUGAGUCGAGUCAAGGGAGCAGCUAGACUAGAAAACCCUUCCACAAACUGCGAUAAUAACCCACCAUCCCUAAAAAGUUACAGAUCUCCUUAACUGAUGUCAAUUUUUCCCAACCGAACACUACUUCAACAUUUUCAGGGUUCACUGACACUCCAUCCUUUAAUAUGAUGUGUCUAAGGAAGGUGGUCUACUCAAGCCAGAAUCCACACUUACUCAGCUUUGCAUACAGCUUAUUCUAUCUGAGAACCUACAAAACCCGAGUCAGAUGAUAAGCGCGUUCAUAUCUGCUUUUUGAAUAAAUCAGAAUGUUAUCGAUGAACAUAAUAACAAACAGAUCCAGAAAUUGUCUGAAAAUCCUGUUCAUCAAGUCCAUGAAGAUGGUUGAGGUGUUGGUUAGAGCAAAUGACAUGACCAGAAACUCAUAAUGUCCGUAUCUGGUUCGAAAUGUUGUUUUGGAGAUAUUUUCUACCCUUAUUUUUACCUGAUGGUAACCUGAACGCAUGUCUAUUUUGGAGAAGACCUGGACACCCUGUAACUGAUCGAAGAGAUCGUCAAUCCUGGGGAUGAGAUACUUGCUCUUGAUUGUUACUCUGUUCAGACCUCUAUAAUCAAUACAUAACCUCAAUGUCCCAUCUCUCUUUCUGGCAAAGGUGACUCUAACACCCCAACGGGACACACUAUAUCGGAUAAACCCACUGUCUUGCAAUUCAGUGAUAUGUUUCCUCAAUUCCUCUAUCUCAACACGGCUCAUGCGGUAAGGAACGACUGAAAUGGGCUGGGUGCCUGGCUGAAGGUCUAUUGUGAAUUCGACUUCUCUUUCCACUGGUAGUCCAGGUAAUUCACAUGAAAAUACAUAUAUAAAGUCUCGGACUACCGGAAUCCCUUGAAUACAAAUAUCUUUCUUGGGUUUGCCUAAUUAAAGAAAACAGCAGGGUUAAAGUACUUGAUAAUAAAAAAAUUUAUCUUGAGGGAAAAAAAAUACUAAACAAUUUUUAUUAAUUUAUAAAUGGCUCCUCAUUAAGAAGAUUGAAUACAACCUUCUUGCUAAAGUAAUCUACGGUGGCGUAAUAUGCUGCUACCCAGUUCAUUCAUAAAAUUACAUCAAAGUCUCUUGUGUCUAAUUCUAUUAGGUCCACACUCAAUUUUCUAUCUGCUAUAUUUAUGACACAAGCUCUGUAUAUAGCUUCUCUCAAUAGUGUCAUACUCCCAGCAGUAGACACAAACAAUACAAAAUCAAGUUUAUCAAGUAAUAUAUUAAAUUUUGAUACAAAAAUAUGUUAAACAAAUGAAUGUAAUGCACUAAUAUCAAUCAAAAUAUGAGCAAGAUAAUUACAGAUAGUAUACAUAUCCUGUACCACAUCCGGGUUAGCUUCUGCAUCAUGCUGGGUGAGAUUGUAAGCUCUGCCCUGGAUAUGAGGUCUUCCCUAAUUCUGGUUCCUUGGGCACUCCUUCGCAUAAUGUUGGACACUACCACAUAUGCGACAGGUGUUGUUGAGGCAAUAGCAGGAUCGGUCCCCAUGAUCCCUGCCACAAUGCUGACAGAUCUUACCGCAUCCUGCCAUUGGAGCUUGAGCGGGAGCCUGGAUCACCGGCUUGGGCCUCUUGUUCUGUUGAACAGGCGCAGUAGGUGCUAGUCUGCGGGAUGAAGUUGAGGGUUUAAGGUUUCAUACUGCCUGAGAGAGGGUACAUAAGCUCCUCUCCACUACCUGUGCCUUGGCCAGAACGGCCGAAUAAAUCCUGAGCUCCAGCACAAACAAAUGAUGUAUGAUCUCUGGGUGGAGACCCCACUCGAACCUUCUAGCCUUCCCUCCUUCAUCCAACAAUAUCUCAGGAGAAUAUCGACCCAACUCUAGAAACUUGCGAGCAUAUUCUGACACAGUUAUAUUCCCCUAGACCAACUAUACAAACUUCAUCUCUUUCAAAUGUUGGAGAUGCUCUAGAAGGUAUUCUGCACGAAAAGCCGCCAGGAACUGUUCCCAAGUAACUGACAGGUAGGGUAGUCUGUUUGAGUUCCCACCAGCGGUCUGUUUCUCCAACUAGCAUGUAGGUAGCAAAUGUGACUUUCUGUUUGGGAGUCACUCCCAAGGUCUUGAAAGCCUUCUCUGUCUCUGCUAACCAGUACUCGACAUCUUCAAAAGAGGAUCCCACUACAAAAGAAGAUGAGUUUGAUCUCUUAUACCCCUUUAUAUAGCCUGGUCAAUCAUGGGAGGAGCUGGAUCCCGUGGAAGAGGGACUAGGCCAUGCUGAGGAUAGACUGGGUGGCCCUGCGGUGGUACUUGCUGAUACGGUGGGGGCACCAGAUUGUACUAUGGCAGUGCCGGGUGGUACUGUGGUUGGAGCACCAGAUCAUACUAUAGUGGUGCCGGGUGAUACUGUGGAGGAGUAAGGUCGUACCAGGGUAGUUUGAGAUUCUCUCGUUGCAGGGGUGGCUCAACCUGUGGUAGUGGAGGAGGGUCAGGUAGCUCCCUCCUUUCCUCCCGGCCCUGCUGGGCAGCAUUGAAUCUCUCCAGCAUCUCAAAUAUUCGGUCAACAUCUUCUCUAAGCGAGCCAUCCCGGGCUGCUCGGUUUAGUGGGAGUCUUUCUUUCCUCAUCUAUCUGUACCUACAUUUCACAAGGAGCAGUUGAGUGAUAAUUCAUUGUUUUAGUGUUCCCUAAGAAUUUUGUGUAAGGAAUGGUCUGAGGAACGUGGCUCUGGUACCGGCUGUAACAUUCUCAAAAAUCUAAAAAAAAUAGAUAAUAACUUAAGUGCGGAAGCGAAAUAAAGGAAUAAGGUUUAUAUUCUUUACACAAUAACUUAAAAGUACUAAACAACAUUACGAAAUUCACCAUUUUGAAAGAAACACAAGAAAUAAGGAAAUAAACAGAAAAGAGAAAAUAUCUAACAUCUACUUGCAAUCUUCUUAUGGAUUGGGCUUUGGAACCUGGUCCUCCUGAUCUGAAAUGGUUAAAUAAGGAAUGAGUUACACUACCCCAGUAAGGAUAUCACAGUAUAUCACCGACAUACAAAUAAAGGUGGGUAUAAAAAUAAAAACAACUAAUAAAGUACUAAAUUUAGCAAAUCCAUUUAUCAAUCAUAAAAUUAUUUACCGUUCACUUAUCACAGUAGAAUUUAUGAAAAUAAUAUAUGCAGACAAUAAUAUCAUACGGAUCAUAAUUUUAUGUAAAAUCAGUAACAUAGCACAUAUCAUAAAUCUAUACACAUCGUCAAAUAACUAAACAAUAACUGUCACAUUUUCACCAGCCUACUAGUAUCCAUGAGGGUUCAUAAGGAUGUCCCCGCUACACGUGACCCAUUUCCUUUAACAAUCUCAAUUACGGGCUGUCCCCAUACCUCGUCCAGUAUGAGCACUAAAUUAUUAAACCUCAAUACCCCGUCUGGUAUAAGGGUGAAGCAGGUCGUCCCCAUACUCCGUCCGGUAUGAGCGUCAAAUUACCAAGUCUCUAUAGCCCAUCCGGUAUGAGACAACGUUCACGGUAGAGUUCUCUAUAUACCCGGUAUGUCCACCAUCUCUCAGGAUAUUUAGUAAGGGUGUCGUUCCAUCUGUUUAAUCAUAUAACUUUCCUGUUUUCCUUUACUCUCCAUUUUCCAAAUCAACCAUGAUCACAUAAGCAAACAAACAUGCAUAAGGGAAUGCAAUCAUAUCUUAAUUUCUCAAUCAAACAGUAGUCACGUAAGGCAGCAAUUUAUGCAUUCAAAUCAUAAAAUUGAUAAACCAAAUACCAUCAUACUUUUAGACUGUAAAAUAAAUCAACAGAAAUUAACAGAGAAAAAUUUCCGAUUCGGGCUCCAUUAGCAAUCCGUAAUUAAUUUUGUAUAUUUAUUUAAUUUGCACAAAUAUUAUAUUAUUAUUUAUUUACACUUCAAUUCUAUGAUAGGGAAUAGGGUGAGAGAUCCUUACUCGAUUUGACAUCCGAAAAGAUAAGCUGUUUACUGCGUCUACGGGGGAUCCCUGGGUUUUCUGAAUUUUUCUUCGGGAAUUAAAAUGCAUUAAUGGUACCUACAAAUAUUCUAAACAAACUCGAAAUCAGUCCCAGGGCCCACUCGGCCAAUUUCCAAAUUAUGGCACAACGGCUCCUCUGUGCUCCGGCGACGACGCCACUGCCCGCGGCAUCGGUCUGCUUCAGGCUGGCUAUUUUCGGCCAUUUUUUGAUCGAUUUUGCAUCGAUCUCUGCAAGAAAACACGUUAAGGGGUCUCGGUUGGCUAAAAAAAUACAAAAAAUUGAAACUCACCAGCGGCGGGGCUCUUUGGUGCAGCGGCUCCUCCGACUCACAUUGCGGUUGGAUGUUUUGCUCUGGUCAACCUGUAGAGAAUGACACGGUGAUCACAACGGUGGAAAAAUUAUACAAAAUGAAAAAUCGGGAAGGGCCUCAUCGGAGGCGUUUUGUGAAAUUCUCUGCGGCGGCAUCGCCGGGCUUAGCCGGCGUUUUUCAGCCAAUUGACGUGUCUUUUUGCUCCAAUUUGGCUAUGGGUGAGCUUAAAAUUGAAUUUCGUGCAAAAGAAAAAGUUUUUACCUUUUUUGGCGGUUGGAAAGGGUUCCGGAUGCUGCAGCGGGUGGCAGCGAUCUGCUCCCUAGCGGCUAGGUUGUCUUCUUCGACAAUGGGGUCUGGCGGUUAAGGUUAGGGUUUGGUGCGGAUGAGGGUUAUUUAUAUCCGUCCGCUUUUGAUCUGGACCGUCCAUCGCGUUUGAUCUAGACCAUCCGAUCGCGAUUAAAAAAGGAGUGAAUCUGGACCGUUCAUCGCGAUCCACUCUGAACCGUCCGAUCGCAUUUGAAUUUGGCCGUUCGAUCGCAUUUGGGAGGGAGCACAUCCAGGCCCUCCGUGCGUGCAGGAACACACCUGGGCCGUUCGAUCGCGGACACGCGAAUCGCCUGCAUGGCUUCCCGCAUGGAACCGCAUCACCGCUCGUUGCCACGUGGCACGUCCUGCUUCGUCGGGGCUGCUGACCAGACGUCCCACGUGGCAGAACUUUUCCAAAUUGCACUUUGACCUCUGGUUUUCGAUUUUUCUUUCUAAAAUAUCUUCAGAACCCAAAUUUUUACCCAAUUUCUCCAAAAUAGUUUCCAAGUUCAUCCUCGUUCAAUUUUUAAUUCAUUUUUAUCCUAAAUAAAAUAAAAUAAAAUACAACAAAAUAAAAUAAAUUAAUAAAGAAUUAUAUUUAUUAAUUAUUUAAUUACACACAAAUUUUUAUUUUUUUUAUUUUUUUUGUGAUUGUUACAACCACAUAUAUAUAUAUAUAUAUAUAUAUAAUGAGGCCCUUAAAAGUAAGUUAACCAAGAAUUAGAGAGAGAGAGGUGUUGACAAUGAAAAGAUUUUAGAAAAUUUUGAUACAAACACUUCAUUAUUUAUUUAUUGUCAAAUGUGAAAGAAACGAUAAGAUAAUAUCCAGUUGUCAUCUGCUUAUAAAUAUGAAUAAGGAGGUUGACGCACAACUGGUACAUACUGCAUUGAAAUCGAAAGCUGAAGACCGAUCGGAAUUUGGGUUUGUGGUGGACGACUGCAGAGAAAUACUGGAGAAAAGAGGAAGCAUUUGUGUAAACUGUGUCCAUAGGAGUUGCAACAAGGCUUUGUCCACUCUACAUGCGUGUAUCCUGAUUUUCAUGUAUGGAUGGGUCUGUUACAAGUUAUUUAUGAUCUUAAUAAUAUUUGGCCAUUUAAAAAUAUAUAUAUAUAUAUAUAUAUGAAUUGGGAUUAAUUUAUCUCUUAUUUGUAUAUAUAGAUAUAUAUUGUGUAUAUAUUAUAUAUGAUUUAAUAUAUUAUCAGUUAUAUAAUAUGUGUGACUUCUUAGACAUAUGUUAAUUAAGUUUUUAAUUUAUAUUUAUUAUUUUGGUCAUUUCGGUGUCUAACAUAUAUUUUACUAGAACUAGUAACUUUUAUUUUUAAAAUAACAUUAUUUUUUAUAUUUAUUUUCAUCAAACUUAUAAUAAUUUCUUUACUCAAAAACACUUUCAAUGAACAAAUAUUUCAACAGUAUUUUAUAAGAUAUUGUAAAUUCAAACUAACUGGGUAUUUUUUUACUUUAUUCGUUAAAAAAUUGUAUUAUUACCUAAUAUACUACUUAAAUAAAUUAAUUAAUUUAAAUAAUUUUUACCCUAAAAAAGAUUGAUUUUUCACUAAAGCUCUCAAAUUUGAAAAUUUUAAUUUUUAUAUAGCAGGGAAAAGUACAAGUCCUUGUCAGCUUUACACAAGGAAACAAAAUAUACAACACUCCAAAGUGUUCUAUUUCGAAGGAGCAAUAAUGGCCUUAUAUUACUUAUCUUCAUUGAAGAUUUUCAGAAGAAGUCUUCCAAGGUACAUAUUAUUAAAUAUAUAUAGACUCAAGAGUAUAUUAGAGAUAAAUGUAACUGGAGCUGUGUGUAUAUAUGUGUAUAGAGGUGUAUAGCUGCCAAAUUGAUGAUGAUUAGACACAUCACAUAACUGAAGUUAGAUAAAAGCUAACCGUAGUCAGAUGUUGGUUAGUAUAAUUAGCUGUAAUUAAUAAUUGUUAGAGUGAUUAGUUUCAAUUAGUGGAUAAUUAAACUUGAUUACCUUCAUCUGUAUAAGUACUGUAAAGGUGAUUGAUGCAAAGCAGCUUUCAUUUUUUAUUAUAACAAACAAGGUCUCUCUCUCUCUCUCUGCUCUCCCGAUCGUCUCUCCAGUUUCUUCUUCUUGAGCUUCUCUGCUCAUUUAGAUUUCGUACAAAUCCCGUUUAGUUUUCCAAAAGAGUAUUCAUACGCACACAUACAUUCUUCCUCUAAAUAUUAACUAAAGUUAUAUAUUAGCGACAAACUAUUCAAUAUGAUGCUUGAAGGGUGGUCGCUGUGGAUGGAGGCAGAGCACACGACGAUAAUGGUUAGUAUCUUGGUUGCAACAGUCACCAUAUUUGUUGGGUAUAAAUGGUUGAUGAAGAUAGCCAUGAGAGGUAAGCCACCAUUGCCGCCUGGUCCAAGAGGCUUGCCUUUACUAGGAAAUCUUCCUUUUGUUGAACCAGAUCUUCAUAUUUACUUUUCAAAAUUGUCUAAAAAGUUUGGCCCAAUCGUCAAAAUCCAAAUGGGUACCAAAAUCUACAUCGUCAUUAACUCAGCUUCAUUGGCAAGACAAGUCCUCAAGGAAGAUGAUGUAAUUUUUGCUAACCGUGACCCCCCAGCCGCCGGACUAGCUCUCACAUUUGGUGGUCUUGACAUAUUAUGGAGGCCAAAUGGUCCUGAAUUCCGAUAUUUGCGCAAGAUUCUUGUUCGCGAAAUAAUGAGCAAGGCAUUCUUUGAUGCUUCUUACGGCCUUCGUCAAAGAGAGGUGCGAGAGAUGGUGAAAGAAAUCUAUGCAAAAGUUGGCUCACCCAUAAAAGUUGGGGAUCAGCUGUUCGUAACUUCUUUGAAUGUAGCAAUGAGCAUGUUAUGGGGUGCCUCUUUGGAUGAAGAAAAGAAAAUUAGUGUAGGGUUGGAGUUCAAGCAAGUUAUAGAGGAGAUAGUUGACCUUUUGGGUAAACCUAAUAUUUCUGACUUCUUUCCAGUCCUAGCUCCGUUGGAUUUACAAGGAAUUGUAUCAAAAAUGUUGAAACUCAGAUCAUGGCUAGAUAGGAUUUUCGAAUCAGUAAUUGCAAUAAAAACGAAAGUUGAUGGAGAAAGCACGGGGACAAGUAACGAAAAUAAAGACUUUUUGCAAAUUCUGUUGGAGCUUAUGCAGCAGGAAGAUGAAAAGAUGCUACUUUCCAAAGCUGACAUCAAAGCUUUGUUUGUGGUAAGUUAAGGCUUAAUUUAUACAUAUAUGUUUAUAUGUUAAUGGUUUUGCUUAUUUACACAUGCAGAAUGUUAUUACGGGAACAACAGAUACAUCAUCGAGUACCAUAGAAUGGGCACUAGCAGAGCUACUAAAAAAUUCAGAUAUUAUGAAGAAAGUACACGAAGAAUUGGAGAGAGUUGUUGGCAAUGAAAAAAUUGUAGAAGAGUGUGAUAUAAACCAACUACAUUAUUUACAGUCUGUAGUGAAAGAAACAAUGAGAUUACAUCCAGUUGUUCCUCUACUUGUCCCUCACAGUCCCAGUAUUUCAACAACUAUAGCUGGCUACAACAUUCCUAAAGGCUCAAAUGUUUUUAUUAAUGUUUGGUCAAUAAUGAGAGAUUCUAAGGCUUGGAAAAAUUCACUUGAAUUUCAGCCGGAGAGAUUCUUAGAACAUCCAGAAAUUGGUGAUUACAGAUGAAAUAAUUUCAACUAUCUUCCUUUUGGAUCAGGGAGGAGAAUAUGUGCCGGGAUUAACUUAGGAGAGAAGAUGGUAAUGUAUGUGCUAGCUACUCUCCUACAUUCUUUUGAUUGGAAAGUAGAAGAUGUUACAAACUUCAAUUUGUCCGAAAAAUUUGGUAUUGUAUUGAGAAAAAUGGAUCCCUUAGUAGCUAUACCAACUACUAGAUUGCCUAAUUUAGAGCAAUAUUUUUGAAACCUAAAUAUUCGGUUUGAGUUGAGUAGUUAUUGUUAAAUGUGAUAGAAUCCGUUAAUGAUAUGAAUUUGGUGUAAAUAAUAAAUUUUAGAGCAUAUAGUGAGGAUAUUUAUUAUUCUUGUCUUAUUUAAAAUAAGUGUACUAAAUCUUUCUUAUAGUUAUUAUUAACUAAUUAUCUUACCUUUGUUAAUUAUGUAAUAAAUACCCUAAAGGAAAAAAAAUUACCCUUAAAAAAAUAAGUUUUUUUUUUUAAAUUUUAUUUUUUACAGUUCUAAAAUUUAGAAAAAUUAAUUUUUGUAUAAAAUUAUUGUCAGCUUAAUCUGAAAAAUUAAUAUUUUCUAUAAUUGAGAAGGAAAGAAAAAAUUAAGGACCAAUGACGGCCUUGUAUUUCUUACCUUCAUACUACAGCUUACACGAGGUCUUGAAAGGUAGGCUUGCACUGUAAAUACCAUAAAUAAAGACUCAAAACAUGCACGCCCACAUUUGCUAUUCCUAUAGAUAUUAAGUAAAGUUAGGGAUGACAAUCUUGGUCAAAAUCUAUUCUACCCAAACCACCAAAACCUGACGCAAAUAAGUUUACAGUUUUGAAUCAGAAUGGGUUCGAUUGAUAGGGAUUAAUGUGUGUUGAAUAUUAUUAUUUAUUUACUUACGUUUAUCCUAUUUCAAUUGUCUUAGUCUUUAGCACGUGUACUAAUUUGGUACUCAGAAGAUGUAGACUUUUUCGUUUUUUUAAGAUAUUUGAGUAAUAAUAGAAGUUAGUGGUCUGUUACCUUAUUUUAAUGGUUUUUACCGUUAGAAAAACUCUAUUUAAAGAGCUCACCUACUGAAUGCAAGGUGUGAGAUUACAGCUUAUUGAAUAACGUCUAAGAUUCAUUCACUCUACUUUAGCUCAUAACAAUUUCUGUUUUCUGCUUCAGUUUUAUUAGUGGUAUUAGAGUCACGGGUUGGUUUUAGAGUGAAUAAUUGAGACAAAGAAAGAGAGUGAUGUGAGAUGAGAGUGAUACAACAGUAUCUUUAUUUUUGCAGCAACAAAUCAAUGGCGACGGAGACUUAUGUUCAACCAGUAAUUCCUCACUUCGAUAGUCACUAUAAUCAUUGGAGCAUGCUAAUGGAGAAUUUUCUCAUAUCCGAAGAGUACUAACAAAUCGUCUCUGUACGAAUUUCUAAACCAACAACUGGUGUAAUACCCGGACUUGAAAUUUAACUCGAGAUUAAUUUUAAAAUUUCAAAAAAAUGUAUAAAAAUAUAAUUUUAAAAUUAAUAAAUUUUUAAUUAAAGUGAAAUUAGAAAAAAAAUAGGUUGAGUAUGAAAUUGAAAAUAAUUUUGAAAAAAAUGAAUGAAAAUUUGGGUUCGGAUAGUGUUUUUGAAAAAAAAAAUCAGAAACUGGUGGUCAAAACGAAAUUAAAAAAAAUUGUGCUAUGUAGGACCGCCCAAUCAGCAGCCUCGACGAACCGGAGUGUGCCGUGUGGUAAGGCACACUGACUCGAUGCCACGCGGGAGGCCACACUUGCAAUCCGUGUGCUCACGAUCGGACAGUCCGGAUGUGUUCCAGCGCGCGUGGAUGGUCCAGAUCUGUUUCCUCCUUAUGUGCGAUCAGACGAUCGUGAUUAAAUACGAUGAACAGUUCAGAUUCAUUCCCUCUUUAAACAUGAUUGGAUGGUCGACAUCCAAUAGCAAUGAACGAUCAAUAUUCAUUUCUUCUUUAAAUGCGAUCGGACAGUCGAGAUCAAACGCGAUGAACGGUACAGAUCUAAGCGAGACGGGUAUAAAUAUCUCGCAUCAUACUAAAUCCAAACCCUAGUUAUCAUCCUCCCACCGGAGAAGAAUAACUAGUCACCGGAGAAGAAGAACCAGUCGCUAGAGAAGGGAGCCGACUGUCGCCCGCCGCCGCGUCGGAGCCACCUCUAACCGCUAAAAAAAGUAAAAAUUCUACUGUCCGCUCAAAAUUUGAUUCCGAAUACCCCCAUGGCAAAAUCAGAGUAAAAAGAACGGCGGAUGAGAUAGAAAUUGCGGGUAAAACCAUAAACCGCAUUUGAUGAGCCCCUUCUUGUUUCCCGUUUCAUGCAUUGUGUUCACCGUUUUGUUUUCUACAAGUUGAUCAAAGAAAAAGCCCACCAGCGAAGGUGAGCCGGUAAAGCCGCCACACCGAAAAAUUAUGCCGUCGGUAGGUUUUUAUUUUUUGACUUUUUUCGACCAACCAAGGUCCCCUAACGUGUUUUCUAUCAGCGAUGGGUAUAAAACUAGUCAAAACUAGUCAAAAUCGGCCGAAAAUGGCCAGGCUGAGGCAAACUGCCACUGCGGUCAGCAGUGCUGUUGCCUGAGCACGGCUGUGCCGCUGUGCCAGAAUUUUGAAAUUGGUUGAAAAAAAUUUUUAACACCGAUUUUAGAUUGUUUGGAGUACUUUUAGGUACGUGAAGCGUGUUUUAAUUUACGCAUAAAAAUUCAAGAAAUCUAGGGACCGCCAGUAAGCGUAGUAAAAAGUUCAGUGUUUUGGACACUGAUUCAGGUAAGAAUCCCUCAUCUUAUUUUCUUUUAUGGAAUUGAAAUUUAAUAAUCGGUAAUAUAAUAUUUUAUAUAAUUUAGAAAACUUUGAGAAUAAUUGCAAGUUACCAAUGGAGACGAAACCCGAUUAGUCAUUUAUUUGUUGUCCUGCUUAACUGAUGGUUGAAUUUACAACUUCAAAUAUAUGAUGAUAUAUUAGAAUGAUUAAUUGAUUCAAUUGUGUUUCCUUUAAUAUAUAUAUUGCUUGUCUUGCGUGAUUUACGGUUGAUUUGUGAAAUUAAAAAUUAAUAUGCAAACAAAAAAUUGAUUGGUCACGUGAAUUAAUAAAUGAUAGCCUUACUGGAUAUCUUGUGAGAUGGUGGACGGAUCGGGUACAUAGAGAACUUUACCGUGAACGUUGCCUCAUACCAAACGAGAUAUCGAUGAAUAGUAUUUUUGACGCUCAUACCGGAUGGGGUAUGGGGACGGCUUGAUUCACCCUCAUACCAGACGGGGUCUUGAGGAAUAGUAUUUUUGGCACUCAUACCGAACGAGAUAUGGGGAUGACCGUUAAGUUGAAAAUAUUGAAUAUUGGUUCGCUCGUGGUGAGACAUCUCUAUGCACCCCCAGGGAUAUCAGUAGUCAAAUAAAAAUGGAAAGUUAUUGUUCUUGCUCUCUUGAAUAUGAGGUUAGAAUGUUAUUUGAGUUAUUAUCUCUAUAGAUCGAUUUUAAAAAUCUUGCAACGGUAAAUAUAUACAAUAUAUGAUUUUCCUUAUGAUAAAUGAAUUUAGUUAAAUCAAGAGCUCCAUUGAUUGUUUUUAUAAUUUUUACUAACUUUCAGUUUAUGUAUCAGUAAGUAGUGUGAUAUUCUUACUGAGUUAGUGUAGCUCACCCAUUUAUUAACUAUUUCAGAUCAAGAGGAUCAAGGCCCACAUCCCGAUCAACAAGAGGGUUGUGAAUAGUUCACCACCCGGACUCCCUUCAAAAGCUAAUUGAACUCGUCUUAGAAUACUCAGUUAUUGGCUUUGUUUAUUUUUUUUAUUUUUGUAAUUUCUUUUAGAAGAGACAUUCUCGUAGCCUUAUUAGGCAUUCUAAAUUAUUGUGUAGGGAAUGUAAACUCUAAAUUCUAUUAUUUCGCUUCCGUAUUUAAUUUAUGACUUUAUUUCCUUUUAGAUUCCGAGCCUUUAUAACUGAUACAACAAUAACUAAUACACAAAUAAAAUUAGAAGUGCGAUGGUUAAAGGAUCUCAAGGCGAAGAACUAUCUUUUCCAAGCAAUUGAUCGCUCAAUCUUGGAAACUAUUCUUUUGAAAGAAACCUCUAAGCAGAUUUGGGACUUCAUGAAAAAGAAAUAUCAAAGAUCAACAAGAGUAAAAAUGUAGCAGCUUUAAGCACUUCAUUCGGAGUUUGAAACUCUACAAAUGAAAUUCGGAGAGUUAGUUUCAGACUAUUUUUCACGGGUGAUGACAAUAGUAAACAAAAUGCGAAUUUACGGUGACAAGAUAGAAGAAGUUACAAUUGUUGAAAAGAUUCUUCGAACUAUGACACCAAAAUUUAAUUUUAUAGUUUGUGCCAUAGAAGAAUCUCAUGAUAUUAAUAUGUUUGCACUUGAUGAGUUACAGAAGUCUUUGUUGAUACAUGAACAAAAUAUUAAUCAACAAGAAAAGGAAGAGCUAGCAUUGAAGGCCUCAAUAGAAAAUCAUUCAACAGAUAAUCGAACUGGAGGUCGAUGCAGCAGUACAGGAAAUAACAGAGGCAGAGCCAAAGUUAAAUGCAGUAAUAAUCAACAAGGACAACACCAAGAAAAUUAGUUUCAAAGAAAAGGAAGGGGACAAGGUGGCUACAACUCAAAAUCAUUAGACAAAUCCAGAAUUUAAUGUUAUAGAUGCCAUAAAUAUGGUCAUUAUAAGUCAGAAUACCGAACAAAUUUGUCCAAAGUACAUGGAGAAGAAUCUAACUUUGCAGAAAAAAAGAAAAAAGAGAUAUCAUUAUUUAUCGUUUGUCACAUGAAGGAAGAAACUACAAGAAUUUAUGGUAUCUUGACAUNNNNNNNNNNNNNNNNNNNNNNNNNNNNNNNNNNNNNNNNNNNNNNNNNNNNNNNNNNNNNNNNNNNNNNNNNNNNNNNNNNNNNNNNNNNNNNNNNNNNNNNNNNNNNNNNNNNNNNNNNNNNNNNNNNNNNNNNNNNNNNNNNNNNNNNNNNNNNNNNNNNNNNNNNNNNNNNNNNNNNNNNNNNNNNNNNNNNNNACAAGAAAACAGAGGACUCCGCAUACGCAAACUCUUUUUUUUUGCCUUCUCUAUCUCUCUCUAAACUCUCUCUCUAAAAUUAUAGCAAAAAUUGUGAUCGUUUUUUAUUCAAAAUCUACAAGUGGUAUCAGAGCUGUAUGAUCUUAAAGGAUCUGUAAGAAGAAAUCGAAAAAACAAAAUACAGAACGGCAACAAACCCGACUGGCACACUAAAUCUUCCUCUAUUUAUAGGAGAAAAUUAUCAUGUAUGGACAAUAAAGAUGGAGAUGUAUCUGCGAGCCCACAGCCUGUGGAAGGUCGUAGAAGACGAUGCAGAACCAGCAUCAUUGAAAGAUGAUGCAACAGUAAACCAACUAAAGAGGUAUGAAGAAGACAUCUCUAAGAAUCCUCGGGCUCUGUCUUGUUUGCAUACGACAAUAUCAGAUUUGGUCUUCUCCAGAAUAAUAAACUUGAGAAACCCAAAGCAAGUAUGGGACAAAUUGAAGGAGGAGUUUGAAGGUGAUGAAAGAAUCAAGAUGGUGAAAGUUCUGAAUCUAAGAAAGCAAUUUGAAACACUGAAGAUGGCAGAGGCAGAAACCGUAAAGGAGUAUGCCUCAAAACUACUUGAUACAGUAAACAAGAUCAGAUUGCUCGGAGAAGACUUCGAAGAUAGAAAAGUAGUCAAAAAAAUGUUGGUGAGCCUCCCUGCCAGAUUCGAGGCCAAAAUCUUAGCGAUAGAAGAAACAUGCAAUCUGAAAACUCUCUCAGUUGCAGAAUUAUUGGGCAAGCUGCAAACAUUGGAGCAUAGGACAGCCUUGAGAGAAACAAACUCCACCGAAAUAGCACUAGUAGCUACACAAAAUAGAAGCAAGAAUCAAGGCAGAGGAAGAGAAUGAAGAAGAAAUUAAGAUGAUCAAGUCACACGAUCAAUACAAAUUCAAACAAUCACAACAAUAAGCAGCAAAAGGGAUUACCAAACUACAGAAUAUGUGCUCGCAAUGACCACCUAGAACAAGACUGCUGGUAUAAAGGGAAGAACCCUAUCAAGUGUAAUUACUGCAAGAAGGGCCGACACAUCGAAAAGGUGUGCCGAUGGAAAAAAAAAAUGAAGGUAACACAGCUGCUUCUUCUACUCAAAAUCAGUCUCAACAAGAAGUAAAUUAUACUGAAGAAAUCAAAUGAGAAGAGCAGAUGUUUAUGGCACUCAGCGAGCAAUCAGAGGAAGCUGACACUCACUGAAUAAUUGACAGUGGCUGUACAAUCCACAUGUGCAAAAACGAAAGAAUGUUUUCUGAUCUUAACAAAGAUACAAAACUCAACAUAACUCUAGGUGAUGGAAAGGCAUUAAGAGCAUAAGGAAAAGGAAGCAUUGCAAUAACCACGAACUAAGGAAAAAAGGUCAUACCUGACGUUCUGUAUGUGCCUGGCCUGAGGCAAAAUUUGUUAAGUAUGAGCUAAAUAAUCAAAAGGGGAUACACCGUGGUCUUCUUGGAAAAUUCAUGCUCUAUAAAAGACUCAUGUGGGUAUGAAAUUGCAAACAUUCCAAUGAUCAACAGAAGCUUCACUUUGAAGCUACAAGGAGCUGAAGAAAAACUAAGGUGCACUGCUCAAAACGACACCAUUCUAUGCAUCGAAGAUUUGGACAUGUGCAUCUUGAAGCCCUUAAGAAGAUGAACUCAUUAAAAUUAAGUCCAUAUCUCCCUAAAAUCAUAGGAGAAAAGUGGAUUUGCCAAAUCUGCGAACUUGGGAAUAUACACAAAUAACUCUUCCUGUUAAAGUCUUCCUGGAGAGCAAAUACCAAGCUUGAAUUGAUCCACACAGACAUCUAUGGUCCUAUGAGCACAGAGUCACUAAGCAACAAUAGGUACUUCAUCCUGUUUAUUGACGAUCACUCCAGAAUGACAUGGAUCUACUUCCUAAAAACAAAGAAUGAAGCUCUGCAAAAGUUCAAGGGGUUCAAAGCUGAAACAGAAGCAGAAAAUGGAAUGAAACUGAAGUGUUUGAGGUCAGAUAAUGGUCUGGAGUUCACUUCAACAGAGUUCAAGGAUUUCUGUAUUAAAGAAAGCAUAAAACGACAAUUAACAGCCCCCUACUCUCUACAGCAAACUGGAGUAUCAUAAAGAAAAAAUAAAACUGUGGUUGAGAUGGCAAGAAACUUACUCAAGGAUAAACAACUGCCUUUGUAAUUUUGGUGUGAAGCCAUGAACACUUCUGUAUACCUGUUGAACCGACUUCCUUCUUGGGCUAUUGAGGGAAAGACUUCAUAUGAAUGCUAGAGUGGAAGGAAGCCUGCUACAAGGCAUCUACGGGUGUUUGGUUCCAUCUGCUACUGUUAUGUAGCAUAAGAGAAAAGGAAUAACCUUGAUGACAAAACAGAAAUUUAUAUCUUUUUGGGUUAUAAUACAGAAAUAAAAGGAUACAGGGUCUCCAAUCCUAAGACCAAAAAAGUUAUGGUCAGAAGGGAUAUGGUAAUUGAUGAAGCAUCUCACUGAGAUUGAAAGGAUGAAAAGAUAAUCCCCGAUGAUAUAAGUUCUACUUCAAAACAAGCUCAAGAAGAAAAUGAAGAAGUGAAUAAUUAAGAGUCACAAAAAUCACCAAAUAAAAUGACAAGAAGCUUAUCUGACAUCUAUGCUCAAUGCAACAUUGCUGUUACAGAGCCAACAACGUUUGAAGAAGUUGCUCAACAUGAGGUUUGGAGAAAAGCAAUGGAAGAAGAGUUGAACAUGAUCAAGAAAAAUGCCACUUGGUCCCUGGUUCCCAAACUAAAAGGUAAAAAUGCAAUCAGAGUUAAAUGUGUCUUCCGGCUUAAAAUAAACCCAGAUGACUCAAUUAAUAAGUACAAAGCAUGCCUGGUAGUGAAAGGUUAUACUCAAUUACCAGGAGUGGAUUUUGGGGAGACAUUUGCCCCCAGUAGCAAGACAUGAAAUGAUAAGGUUUCUACUUACUGUGGCAGCACAAAGAGGUUGGCAUGUCUUGCACCUUGAUGUAAAAUCUACUUUUUUGAAUGGUGAAUUGGAAGAGGACAUAUUUGUCCAACAAUCGAUAGGAUUUGAAGUAGAAGAGAAGGCUGAUCAUAUGUAUAAAUUACAUAAAGCACUAUAUGGUCUGAAACAAGCUCCCAGAGCAUGGUAUGACAGAAUUGAUGCAUACCUGCUCCACUGUGGGUUCAAAAGAAGCAAGAACGAAGCAACCCUAUAUGUCAAACACCUAAAGGAUGGAAAAAUGGUCAUCAUAUCACUGUAUGUUGAUGAUAUUCUCAUCACUGAAAAUGAUGAACAAAGAAUAAAGGAACUUAGAACACAACUAGAGCAGGGAUUUGAGAUGUCAAAUCUUGGGAGAGCGACCUAUUUUCUGGGAAUGGAGAUCGCUCAAUCUGAGAAAGGGAUCUUUAUAUCACAAAAGAAGUAUGCAAGGGAAUUGCUCAAAAAAUUUAAGCUUGAAAAUUACAAAGCCGUACCUACCCCUCUCAUAUCACAUAUUAAACUGUCAAAAGCUGAAGCAGAAGAAAUGGUGAAUGAGAAAGAGUUCAGGAGUAAAAUUGGCAGCUUACUCUACCUAACUACCACUCGACUAGAUCUAACUUAUGCAACCAGCCUGUUAUCUCGGUUUAUGAAUUCACCAAGAUAAUCACACAUGGCAGUGUUAAGCAUAUCCUAAGAUAUGUAAGAGGAACAACUGAUUUAGGAAUCCAUUUUCAAGCUCACACAGAAUGAGAGCAUCUAAAAUACACGGACAGUGAUUGGGCAGGAAGUGUGGAGGAUGUUAAAAGCACAUCGGGGUAUAUUUUUUCACUUAGUUCUGGUGCAUUUUUAUGGUCGUCAAAGAAGCAAAAAAUUGUUGCACAGUCAUCCGCUGAAGCUGAAUACAUAGCAGCAGCAGGAGCUGUAAAUCAAGCUCAAUGGUUAAGGAAAAUACUCGAUGAUCUAUAGAUGCUUUCCACUGAACCUACGGUCCUCUAUAUCGAUAAUAAAUCAGCAAUCGCCAUUGCUAAAAAUCCGGUGUUGCAUGGAAAGAUUAAGCACAAAAAGGUUAAGUUCCACGCUAUAAGAGAAACAGAAAAGGAGAAAGAAAUAAGCCUAGUACACUUUGCAACAAAAGAUCAAGUAGUAGACAUCUUUACCAAGACCUUGCCGAAAGGUAAAUUUGAAGAACUAAGGAAAAUGUUAGGGAUGAAUAAAAUCCUUAAAGAGGAGUGUUCCACGUAAGGAUUUCAUUUAAUAUAAAAAUCUAUUUGAAAUAAAGCUUCGAAUAGAUAGGUGGCAGAAUGCAUAUAGAACACCGACAUGCAUGCGGUUUAGGAUUGUUUUAAAUUCUAUAUUUAAAGUUUGUUUUUAGUUAGAAUUCGAAUUAUGUUUUUUGAGUAGGACUCUAAUUUAAUUAUGUGUAUAAAUACCACUUCAAAUCAAUCAAUAAAGUUAAGUUCUUUCCUCUCAAAAAAUUUCUAGAGUUUAAGAGAAACAAAAAAACAGAGGACUCCGCAUACGCAUACUCUGUUUUUUUGCUCUCUCUCUCUCUAAACUCUCUCUAAAAUUACAACAAAAACUGUGAUCGUUUUUUAUUCAAAAUCUACACACACCUCAACAAAAUGGUGUUUGUGAGCGAAAGAAUCGAACAAUCCUCAAUAUGGUGCGAAGUAUGUUGAUAACAAGUGUUAUUCCAAAAGGAUUUUGGCCUGAAGCUGUUGCCUGGAGCAUUCAUAUACUGAACAGGAGUCCUACAUUUGCUGUCCAAGAUAAGACUCUGGAAGAAGCAUGGAGUGGACAAAAACCAAAUGUUGACAAUUUCAGAUUUUUUGGGUGUAUUACGUGUGGCCAUAUUCCAGAUGCGCAGAGGAAGAAGUUGGAUGAUAAAGGAGAAAAAUGCAUUUUUCUUGGUGUUAGUAAUCAAUCCAAAGCUUAUAAACUUUAUAAUUCUAACACCAAGAAAAUUAUUAAUAGCCGUGAUGUAAUUUUUGAUGAAGACACAACUGGCCAUGGAAUGAUAAAUAAAUUCAGCAACAUAUUCCAGUGGACUUUGAAGAAAAAAAACAGCAAGAAAUGGAGACUAAUCAAUCGCUAAUUCCAACUGUUCCAGCUCAACUAUCAAUUCCAGCUUAUACACAAGAAGUGGACUGACCUCAACAUAUUAGGAGAUGACCUGCAUGGAUGACAGAUUAUAAGGUAACUGGAAUUGAUCGGUCUGAAGAUUCACUUAUUCACUUUGCUUUGUUUUUGGACUGUGAUCCUACGACUUUUGGUGUGGCUGUUAAAGAAUAAAAAAGAAUCAAAGUGGCGAAAGGCAAUUGAUGAAGAUAUUGCAGUAAUUGUAAAAAAUAAUACUUGGGAAUUGAUUGAGCUUCCUAAGGGACAUAAAACAAUUGGUGUGAAGUGGAUAUACAAGACAAAAUUGAAUGAGAAUGCCAAAGUCAAUAGGUACAAAGCAUGUUUAAUAGCUAACGGCUAUAAACAAAAGUUCGGUGUGGAUUAUAGAAAAGUAUUUGCACCAGUUGUACGACUUGAUACCAUCAGAUUGGUGAUUGCAUUGGCUGCUCAAAAUUCAUGGCUUAUUUUUCAAUUGGGUGUUAAAUUGGCUUUCUUGCAUGGAGACUUAGAUGAACGGAUAUUUGUUGAUCAACUCCUUGAUUAUGUUAAGAUUGGAGAAGAACAUAAAAUGUACAUAUUAAAAAAGGCACCAUAUGUAUUAAAACAAGCUCUAAGAGCUUGGUAUAGUCAUAUAGAUGCUUAUUUUUUUAAGAAGGGAUUUAAAAAAUGUCCAUAUGAGCAUACACUUUUACAAAGAUUAAUGAUAAGGGAAGAAUGCUCAUUGUUUGUUUAUAUGUAGAUGAUUUAAUUUAUAUUGGAGAUAAUAUUUCCAUGUUUGAAAGUUUUAAGAAGUCCAUGGAAGUGGAAUUUGAUAUGAUUGAUAUAAGACUGAUGCAUUAUUUCCUUGGCAUUGAGGUAGUUCAAUCAGCUGGUGGAAUUUUUAUUUCAAAGAAAAAGUAUACACGAGAUAUUGGACAGGUUUCAAAUGAAGAAUUGUAAUUCUGUCAGUAGUCCCACUGAGCCUGGUUUGAAACUAAUUAAAGAGCCUGGAGAUAGAAGAGUUGACAACACUCUUUACAAACAAAUAGUGGGAAGUUUGAUGUAUUUAACGGCCACAAGGCUUGUGUAUGCUGUAAAUCUUAUCAACAGAUACAUGGAAAGUCUAAGGGAGAUACUUCUUCUUGCUGCAAAAAGAAUUUUCGAUACCUGCAAGGAUCUGCAAAUUAUGGUCUAUUCUACAAGAAAAGAGAACAGACAGACUUAACUGGAUUUACUGACAGUGAUUAUACUGGAGAUUUGAAAGAUAGAAAGAGUAUGUCAGGUUAUGUUUUUAUGAUAAGUUCAGAGCAAUUUCAUGAUCGUCAAGGAGGCAGCCAAUUAUGACUUUAUCAAUUACANNNNNNNNNNNNNNNNNNNNNNNNNNNNNNNNNNNNNNNNNNNNNNNNNNNNNNNNNNNNNNNNNNNNNNNNNNNNNNNNNNNNNNNNNNNNNNNNNNNNNNAUUCUACACAUCUCAUCGUGCUUUCUAACUUCAAUAUUAUCCAACAAUGUACUAUUUAAAUCAUAAUACCUUCAAUGAGAAUGUAACACAAUUUUGCUUUAUUUCUGGGUUCAUAACAUGGUAUCAGAGCCAUCAUAGAACAAAGAAAAACAAUGGCUUCUUCCGAUCAACUCUCCCUCAUCUCUACUUUCUCAAACAGCAAUCCCAUAACCACUCACCAUUCCUUCUCUAUCAAAUUAAAUCCUAAAAACUACCUGGCAUGGAAAACUCAGUUCAUGCCUAUCCUAAACUAUCAAAAUCUCAAAGGCCUUGUUGAUGGCAGUGAAUCGGCACCACCCGAAUUGCUAGUCACUGGUGAACCUCCCACCAUCACUGCCAAUCCUGCGUAUUUUGCAUGGUUUCGGAAAGAUUAAAUGCUCCUUUCGUCGCUUCUAUCCUCCUUAUCAGAGGAAAUUUUUCUGUACAUUAUUGAUCUCACCUCCUUAUUCUCUGUCUGGAAUGCCUUAACAACUGCAUUCGACUCUGUAUCUUAAAACCACCAACUUCAAUUACAUAUUGAGCUGCAGGAUGAGAUAUCUUUAACACUCAGAUAUCUUACCUUCGUAUUAUAUAUAGACUCAGAAGAUGCAUGCCCACAUAUUCCUUACAUAUUCGCUGUUCUUGUAAAUAUUAUUCAAGUUUGGGAUGACAAUGUUGGUCAAAUUUAUUAUAUUCAAACCAGCAGAACUCAGCCCAAACAAAUUCUAGGAUUUAGAUCGGAACAUAUUAGAAUUGAUAGGAAAUUAUGUACAAGGCAGGAUGCAUUCGGGUUUAACACACCAAAAUCUGUCCAUACCGAACUGCAGAGAUGUAUUUUUUUUUUAUUAAUUUAUAUAUGUAUAUCAUGUAUAUAUUAUAUAUUAUGUAUAAUAUGCUAUAGAUUAUAUAAUAUAUGUGAUCCCUUAAGAAAUUUUAAUAAUUGUCACAUAUUUUUCGAUUAUUUCAGUGUCAAUAUUUUUUAAAGUGAUAAUAUUUUAUUUAUUUAUUUUCAUCUAGCACAUGACAAUCUUUUUACUAAAGAUCACUUUCACCAAAUAAAUAUUUCAGCAGCACUUUAUAAAAUACUGUAAGAUGGAAUCAAAUUGUUUAUUUUCUUUUCUACUUGUUAGAAGAUUAUAUUGUAAAUAUGUAUAAUAUAUCAAUAAAUAUGUAUAAUAUAUCAACUAUGUAAAUAAAAUAGUUUUAAUAACUUUUACCCUCCAAAAAUAAAGAUUUGUCUAUAAAAUCCUCAAAUUUGAAAAUUAUAAAUGUUGUACAGCAGAGGAAAGUAUAAGUCUUUGUCAGCUUUACACAUGUAUGACACUGUUUAGAGAAUUGGAUUUCUACGGCUAGAAGAAAAAGAAAAAGGAAUCGAGUGACACAAUGGCACAACUGAUUACCAUGAUUCUUCCCGCAAGUACGGCAGGUCGAUGCCUUACUAGGUGCUGAUGGUGGUAUAGGAGAUAUUUUUGUUGUCAUUCUAGGACUUUUAUCUUAUGAACCAAACACUAGAGUCGGCUUUCUCAGAGGUACAGAAGGUAUAGAACUGUUUGCUCCUGAAGAUGAACCCUUAAGUCUACUUUCUACUAUCUCUGCUUUUGCCAAGACUUCAUCAUAAGUACUCAAUUCUAAAAUUGUAAGAGAAUCCUGAAUUUUUGGGUGUAGCCCUCACUAGAACUUCCUUACCCUUUGUCCUUCAUCAAUCAGAAUUGUCGGAGCAAAACGAGUCCAUUUAGUGAAUCUCUGAGCAUACUCAACUACUGACAAGUUUUCCUGAAUUAACUGCAUAAAUUCCAACUCCUUCUGAUAUCAAAGUCAUGUAGAAAAUAUUCAGUGUUGAACGCCCCCAGAAAUUGUUCCUAGUGAUGGGAGUAGGUAAAGUGGUCUGUCUGAACUCCCACCAAUGAUCAAUUUCAGUUACAGUAUGUAUGUAACAAGAAUUACUUUUUACUCAGUAAUCACCCCUAAAACUCUGAAUGCCUUUUCACUGCUUUACAUCUCAGCUUCAUAAAAUUCUUUGUAUCUGCAAAAUAUGNNNNNNNNNNNNNNNNNNNNNNNNNNNNNNNNNNNNNNNNNNNNNNNNNNNNNNNNNNNNNNNNNNNNNNNNNNNNNNNNNNNNNNNGAAAAGAUGGAUUAGAAUAUCUAAUAUACAUUCUACUCUUCAACAUCCAAAAAAAAUGUAAGAGAUAACAUUUAAACUCUAAAAACUCAUGCACAAGGGAUGAUUAUAAGAAUGUGGGCUCUAAUACCACCUGUAACACCCCAAACUCGUUAAUGAGUCGUAAUUCGUACUCAUGUCAUUUUCAUACGAUAGGAUCACAAAAUAUGCAUAUGCAUAGCUCAAAAAUUUAACAUACAACAUAACAUCUCAUUUUAAAAUUUUUAUUUACUUCUUUUUUAUUCUAUUUUUCUCUUAAAUUUUAUUUAAAUUAAUAGUUUCACAAUCAUAAUUAUUCUCUUCUAUUUUUAUUCAUUUUCUUACAUUAUUUUAUUUUUUUUAUCGAUCUUCCGCUUUAUUGGUGAUUUCUUUUAAUUUAAAUUUUAUUCUUAUCAUCAGGUUAGGUAUUCCUUAGUUCUUGAUUUUUUUAGUCUCCAUCUCCUCAUAAAUUUCAAACAAGUUAGGGUUCACUUGUCAUAGGUUCGGGUUUUGUUCUUUAUCCAGAAAUUGGGCUAGUAUCUGUUUUAUGUUUAAAACACACACAAAAUUAAUAAUGUGUGCAUAAAUUUAAAAAUCUUAAUCUAGGUUCAGAAUCGGAAAUACUUACAACUCCUUUACGCAACAACCUUUCUAAAUCUACUUGAAUCUUCCUAGAUCUGCUCGAACAUUCUAUUUCAUGGUAUACCACAUGAUACAGAUUAAUUAAUGUACUACAAAUAUUAAAUAGAGGCUAAAUUCAACUAGAAUCAUGGGUUUCAAUGACAACCCGACGAGAUGCCCAACUCACCGCGUAAGGGUGAGCAAUCUGCUCCCUUACGGUCCUGAGUCCCAAACUUGUAAGGUUUUUAUUCGUGAAAUGAUGAGCAAGACAUGUUUUGAUGCUUCUUAUGGCCUUCGUCGAAGAGAGUUGUGAGAGAUGGUGCAGGAAAUCUAUGCAGAAGUUGGCUAACGCAUAAAAGUUCGAAAUCAUAUGUUCUUAAUUUCUUUGAAUGUAGUAAUGAGCAUGUUGUGGGGUGCCUCUUUAGAUGCAGAUAAAAAACAUAAUGUUGGGUUGGAGCUCAUGCAAGUUAUAGAGGAGGCGAUUGAUCUUUUGGGAAAACCUAAUAUUUCUGAUUUUUUUUCCUAUCCUUUCCCCGUAGGAUUUACAAGGAAUUGUAUCAAAAAUGCUGAAACUCAUAUUACGAUUCGAUAAUAUUUUUGAAUCAGUGAUUGCAAUAAAAAAAAGCACGAAGACAAGUAAUGAAAGCAAAGAUUUUUUGCAAAUUUUGUUGGAGCUUAUGCAG